RNAcentral lists this ribosomal RNA (796 nucleotides) under fungal endophyte. RNAcentral describes it as "eukaryotic LSU rRNA". The stretch from base 488 to 796 matches the Rfam family "Eukaryotic large subunit ribosomal RNA", at positions 1 to 312 of the family's 3401-position model. Lineage: Eukaryota; Fungi. The record is from RNAcentral.
AGAGUUCUAUAACUCCCAAACCCAUGUGAACAUACUUAACGUUGCCUCGGCAGGUCGCGCCUACCUCGUAGUCCUACCCUGUAGGACUUACCCGGGAGGUGCGGAUAAGCCUGCCGGCGGCCCACCAAACUCUGUUUGAUAUUGAAUUCUGAACCUAUAACUAAAUAAGUUAAAACUUUCAACAACGGAUCUCUUGGUUCUGGCAUCGAUGAAGAACGCAGCGAAAUGCGAUAAGUAAUGUGAAUUGCAGAAUUCAGUGAAUCAUCGAAUCUUUGAACGCAUAUUGCGCCCAUUAGUAUUCUAGUGGGCAGGACCGUUCGAGCGUCAUUUCGACCCUUAAGCCUUAGUUGCUUAGUGUUGGGAGCCUACGGCAACGUAGCUCCUCAAAGUUAGUGGCGGAGUUGGUUCACACUCUAGACGUAGUAAUUUUUUAUCUCGCCUAUUAGUUGGACUGAUCCCCUGCCGUAAAACCCCAACUUCUAAAGGUUGACCUCGAAUCGGUUCAGACAAACUCGCUAAAUUGAAGCAUCUUAGUCAGCGAAGGAAAAGAAACCAACAGGGAUUGCCCUAGUAACGGCGAGUGAAGCGGCAACAGCUCAAAUUUGAAAUCUGGCCCUCGGGUCCGAGUUGUAAUUUGUAGAGGAUGCUUUUGGCGCGGUGCCUUCCGAGUUCCCUGGAACGGGACGCCUUAGAGGGUGAGAGCCCCGUACGGUUGGACACCAAGCCUCUGUAAAGCUCCUUCGACGAGUCGAGUAGCUUGGGAAUGCUGCUCUAAAUGGGAGGUAAAUUUCUUCUA